GGACAUCUGAAAGCAGGAUGGUGACAGAUGAGAUGGGAGAAAUAAAUCAUAGAGCUUGCAGAAGCUAAUAGCAUCAAGAAUAAAUAUGAAGGCUGGAAAAAUGUCUCCUUCAUCAGGAGGGGCAAGGAGGCACAAGUAGAGUUGGAUGGUGCUGUGCUUCUCCAAGCACAGUGGAGACCCAGCAGAGAGGAGAUUAAUUUCAGGAUGAAGUGGAGGACAACUGAGAAGAGACUGCUGUGCAGACAUGCUGAGUGUGAGCAAGUAAGGCACUCCCACUCCUAAUUUUCAGGAAUUACAGGUAUAUUUUAUAUCUUUGGAUUUACUAAAUAGGUGCCAGCUGCUUCCUAAAGAGUGUUUGAUGUUUGAACCCCACUCGGCUCUUAAACUUUCCUUUGAGUCACUGAAGCUGGUAACUCUGUUAUAAACAAUGAUGCAGCAAAUGAAAAGAGCUUUUUUUUGCUGCUUGAGUAGGCCUGGGGAAGUAUAGGAAAGGCCUGUCCGCAGUGGGGUCUUGAUGCAGUGCAGCUGUCCUGGAGCAGCUGCUGUGCUGAGCACGGCCCUGUGCAGCAGCCUGCAAACAUGUGCCAUGUCUGGCUCCUCACUCAGCCCCCUUUCCAGGCAGUAGCAAUUCAACAUCCAUCUAGCUAAACAGAACAUCACACACAGGUCUGUGUUAAUGUUGCUCUUGUGAGACCUCUAGACAGAUUUUUUUUUUUUCUUUUAACUCUUUUCUGUUAGGAGCAGUAGGAGGAGAAAGCUGGAUAUUUAAUUUGCAUUUUUCUUUGUACACAGUGCUAGGAAUUUUGACUGGGCAUGCUUUCAGUGGGUUGCAGCAAAAAGAGGUAGGACCCUGUAUUAUCCUUUGUAGGCACAGGUGUGCUGAUUCCUCCUUAAUUAAUCCAGAUAUUUAUCAAUUGUUCUAAAACAUUUACUUAGAAAUCUGGCACUUGCAAUUUAAUCAAUUUUGAAGCUGCUUUUCAGUCCUUGUUUUGAGAUUGCACUGCUGCUGGCUUUCUCCUGUCACUAUCCCAUAAUUUUUUCAGUUUUUGUUCCACAGCUGAGGGUUGUGGCACAGGUGCACCAUGUUGGGGAGCCACUGCUGUGGCCCCUUGGCUCUGCUUUAGGACCAAGCCAGCCCUGGUGUAACCCACACACAGUGGGACUUGCUCUACCCUGUGAGCCUACUCCUACUGCUGCUCUGCUCCUUCCUCAGAGCUGCCUUGCACCAGCAGAGCUGUGAAGGAAAAGCUGUGUACCUAUAGGGCUGCUUUUCCGUGGUGGCAUUUCUCUUCCCUCAGUGCAGUUUAGAAGCAGCUAGGAGUUUAAACUUCAGUAUAAUAGCAAUAUUUCCUUUUUAGACUGAACUAAAGCUGACACUUAGUAACAUGUUAAUUGAAGUUGGUUGUAAUGAGGUGUGUUCACUGUUUGAAAUCAGGGCUCUGCUCCAGGCACCCUCCAGACACUGCCGGAAUGGUGUAGUUUAGCUGAGUAGCAGUAUGGGAGGCAGGAGUAGUACACUUUCCCA
This is a long non-coding RNA of Taeniopygia guttata (zebra finch), 1525 nucleotides long. RefSeq lists it as uncharacterized. The record is from RefSeq and is a predicted model, not a curated record. Lineage: Eukaryota; Metazoa; Chordata; Aves; Passeriformes; Estrildidae.